This 253-nucleotide unclassified non-coding RNA is filed under the name uncultured Gammaproteobacteria bacterium. RNAcentral's name for it is "contains 16S-23S intergenic spacer region". It matches the Rfam family "Bacterial small subunit ribosomal RNA", at positions 524 to 776 of the family's 1533-position model. Lineage: Bacteria; Pseudomonadati; Pseudomonadota; Gammaproteobacteria. The record is from RNAcentral.
UACGUAGGGUGCAAGCGUUAAUCGGAAUUACUGGGCGUAAAGCGUGCGCAGGCGGUUUUGUGAGUCUGACGUGAAAUCCCCGGGCCUAACCUGGGAAUGGCGUUGGAGACUGCAAGGCUGGAAUCUGGCAGAGGGGGGUAGAAUUCCACGUGUAGCAGUGAAAUGCGUAGAGAUGUGGAGGAACAACGCUGGCGAAGGCAGCCCCCUGGGCUAAGAUUGACGCUGAUGCACGAAAGCGUGGGGAGCAAACAGG